UUUAUCCGGUGCUAUGGAAUUCGGCUUUGCUUGUCGUAGAUCUUCAUUGUCGCUUACGUACGAUUUCUGCGCUUUUUGUUCUCCGUAUUUUCAUAAAAAGAUUAGCAUAUUGUUAAUGCUGUUCAGCAGUAGCUUCUUCUACAUCCACCUGGUAAGCCAGAAUUGGUCAAUGCUAAUCACGGAGAUACAAUAAAAUAGAAAAGGAUAACUCAUUUCUCUUAGCAAAUCAAACAGGUCUUCCUCCCAUUUUAAAUUAUCCCAAACAUAUUAUAUUUCUAUUACAAUAAUGAAUCAACUGUUGGGACAAAUUUCAAUAUGAGAAAGACCCUGUGCGAUAAUUUCCAAUGGAUGAACUAUCCAUUGCAAUAUAUAAAUCAUCUGUUGCUGCAGAUAGGUCAUCUGUUAGUACAAAUAAAAGCUAUACGAAGAGCUAUUUGAUUUCCUAUAACAGACGAGACAUAUGUUGCACCAGCUAAAGUAUCUGGUGCAAUAGGUUAGUCAACUAUUGCAACAUAUGUAUAUAUCUGUUUGAUAAUUUUCAGCAGAUUAUCAUCUGUUGAAACAGAUGUGUCUGUUCGUUUUGUCAGUUGGAAGACAUAUAAUAUAUUCACCUUCUUCAGCUCGUGCUGCUCUCCUUUGGACAUUGUAUAUUGCUCAGUGCAAAACAUAGAUAGAGGAGUUGUAAUUCUGCUUUUUGGAUGCCUGAUAAUGCCAUAGAAAUCACUCUCCUUCUCCUCUUAGCUCUACUCUCUAAUGGAGCGGAUAGAAAUAAAAUCUUCUUUAAUGGAAUGAGACCCCUCUUAGAUGUCAAUUCCUUUAUAGAAGCAGUUAAUGCAUUAAUAGCAUUAAUCACUACAUCAUGUUUC
RNAcentral lists this long non-coding RNA (866 nucleotides) under Capsicum annuum. Its description in RNAcentral is "long non-coding RNA (CANN_LNC019186)". Lineage: Eukaryota; Viridiplantae; Streptophyta; Magnoliopsida; Solanales; Solanaceae. The record is from RNAcentral.